This is a long non-coding RNA of Felis catus (domestic cat), 3380 nucleotides long. RefSeq lists it as uncharacterized. The record is from RefSeq and is a predicted model, not a curated record. The transcript is spliced from 3 exons. NCBI's taxonomy places the organism in Eukaryota, Metazoa, Chordata, Mammalia, Carnivora, Felidae.
UCUCUCUCUGUCUCUCUCUCUCUCUCUCUAUCUCUCUCUCUCUGCCCCUCCCCUGCUUUCAUGUGAGCUCUCUCUCAAAAAUAAGUAAAUAAACUUUAAAAAAAAAAGAGAGAGAAAGUAUGUUCCACAUGAUCUCUGUCUUAGGCAAAACAUACACAGAAAAUGUGUAUGAACUAAUAAAAUUUUUAUUAAAUAUUCCCUUAGUGCUCUGAAAAUGUAUAUUCUGGUUUGGGGUGUAAAAAUUUUAGACACAGUUCUUAAAUAUUAUACUAAGGUUGUUACUUGUGUUACUCAAAUUCUUAAACCUCAUUUUUUCUAUUUAAUCCAUUUCUGAGAAACGCGUUUCUUGUUUUCACAGUUUCUCCUUGAAUUUACGGAUCUUUUGCUACUCUGUUUGAUGAGUAUUUUGAUGCUCUAUGAUGUGGCUGAGGAUAUGUGACUAUUGUAUUUUCUUUGUGAAUUCUUUUUAACCGGUACGAAAUCACUCAUUUGCCCCAUUUAAGAAUGUUUGCCCUGGGGCGCCUGGGUGGCUCAGUGGGCUAAGUGUCCAACUCUUGAUUUCGGCUCAGGUUAUGAUCUCAUGAUUCGUGAGAUCGAGCCCCACGUUGGGCUCUGUGCUGACUGUGUGGAGCCUGCUUGGGAUUCUCUCUCCCCUCACCCACGUGCUCUCUCAAAAUAAAUGAGUAAACAUUAAAAAAAAAAAGAAUUUUUGCCUAGAGCUCUCAUACGGGUCUUGCUCUACCUACUGCCUCUCCCUUCCUUUAUUUGCUGGUGUUUCCUGUGUCAUUGGGUUUGGAUUGAGUCUCCUGUCAACAGCAUGCCCUGAACCUGUCAGACGAUGCCUUUAAAUGGGGGAAUGGAACCUGGUAAAUGAAAUUACUGACAUGUCCUGAGUUAUCCCAGGGAGCAAAUUUUUUGGUCUUCCGUUUACAUUUUGGACAGCCACCAGUCAAUGGAAAUAAGAUGUGAAACUUCUAAAUCACCAGAGGAGAGAAAGAGAAGGAUUUCCACCGAGCCCGGAAGCAUAGAGAGAGACAGAACUCAACGAGGAAGGCCGCACAUUAAACCAAACCCACAGCUACCUUCCUAGGACCUUCAGUAUGUGUUCUCCCCAGCUGCCCUGUAAAGGUUUUUUAGGAGCCCCUCGGAAUUUCCGAUUUCAGCUACUGAUGAGUUUUUUCUUCUGUUAAGGUAAUUUGGAAGUCCGUUCUUGAAUCCUGCAUUAAAGGCAGUGACGACAGUCACUUAACUGGGUACUUGCUGGCUCAGCCUGUGAUCGCAAAGCCGCCCGUACUGCUGAGGGGUUGCUUGUAGGGCCGCAGUGGCGAGGCCGUGGCACUCAACGCUCCGGGUUAAUAGACUUACGCGUUUAUUCCAGUUUUCUAGGAGAUGUCAGGAAAGUGUCUUGGUGACAGAGCACAUUUUGAAAUCGGUCCUCGGUUUAUGGCUGUUUGUUUUAUGCUGAUAUCUGGCGAUUCUUUGCUGCCUAUUAACUUUUCUAGUCCGUAUCUGGAUUAAGCUGGUGUGAAUGAUCUCAGGAACCGUGCAAGGCAGCGCUUUGUCUCCCCAUAGUAAACCUCACCCUGGCAGGGAAGGUGCACCAGUAGGAAGCCCUCCCUUUAAGGACCUGGCUGGGAAGGGCUGUCUGUCCUCCGGCUCCCCACCACCGCUCCCGGCUCUUAGCUGUGCAGCACACACACACACACACACACACACACACACACACACAGACAAAGCUGCUAGAGCAACGUGAACAGAUACCCACUUCGUCUAAAGUGAUGACAGUGUCCCCUAAGCCCCCAAAGGCAAGGCUCUCUGGUUAAAAUGGUUUCAAGAUGAGUACUUUUCUGAAUAAUAACACUUCUGUUAAAAAGUUAGGAAGAGACCGGAUUGAAGAGUGAGGCUUGGUCCCAAACGUAGGGAAGCCCUCCCUGAAACUGAAGCCCCACGCUGGCGGGCCCACCAAACAGCAAGCUGGAAGUGGGAGAGGACCGCAUCCCACCGGUUGGUGCAGGUGGGCAGGGCAGGGCGCACGGAGGGAUGGUCGCAGGGGCAUCUGCUGCGAACGCAGGUGGCGGGAAGUGCCUGGCCUGGCCCUGCUUCUGAGACCCGAUAAAACAGGAGCAUGAGGUCCUGGCCCACAGUGGUGCUGCAUCGUCCUGCCCGGGAGAGCGAAAGGAAGACCGAAGUGAGCUCUCAUUGGCGGGCCUGGGGAAAACAGAAGUCCCUUCUGUGUGGGCUGACGCACAGAGCAGGGGGGACGCUCACCCUCCUUCACACACCCCUCCAGCCGACAUCAUUUGGGCUGGGGUGCUCUGCCCUUGCGUCCCAUACCCACCCAUCGUCUGCACCAUCCAGAAGUUUCUCAAAGACAUUCUUCCGUGCUGGCACUAUUCCGGCUCCCCGGUGACCUCUGGUUCUCGUUUCAUAGCGCUUUGAUUUCGAAGGGAUGUGGAAAGGAGGAGAUAGAAACGCGUAGACAGUCCCCCCCUCUUGGACUGAAAAGGUGACGGUGAGACAUGGAACCCGAGGGAGAUGUCGGGGAGAGAUGGGACACGAAACCAACCCAGGAUCGACAGUAUUGCAGCCGGGGGGCUCGGGAGAAGACAGUCAAGUAGGAGGUUUCCACCUGCAGAGAUUUGACAGUCUUGAUCGGAGACGCCAGCAUCAUUGGUGUCCAGGCGCCAGUGUUGGGUGGAGAGCUGUGCUCGUGCUCCGGGGCGGCUUCACCUCUGCUGUUCGUGUUUAGCAUCUGCAUUCCCAUGGCAGCCAUUCCAGGAUUCCUGUAUCUCCCUCUUCCACGUAAUCCUUGUCAUCCUUCAAAGGCGAAAACUCGUUCCGUGUCCUGUGCGGGCAUCCGUGCAGACCGGUCUUGUCCACACUGGCAGUGCAGUCCACCGUACUUCGGACGAGCGCCCCCUAUGGACUAGGAUGCAGCGUUUCAUCCAGUCCCAUUGCCUUAAAAUUCGCGAUGCUUGAUGUCUCCAGUCCUGACCGCUACUCUGAGCUCUGAUGCAGAUGUCCAAGCACCUACUUGAAAUCCCUGCUUGGGUAGAGAAGCAUCUUGAAAUCAACAUGCCCAGAUGAAGUUCAUGACUGCGGCUGUCUGAAAACCCAACCAGACUUCCACCUCCAAAAUAGAUCACUGUUCCAUCAGUGCUCUCCGUGUGCUCCCGUAGGGCGCCUUUCACCCACACCUGUCACCUGGAGCGAUGGAGACAGUUGUCUCAUGGGCCUCCCGCUUCCUCUCCCACCUCCCAACCAUGCUUCUGCCAGCAGCCACAGUGACUUUUCAUAAACAUGUCUGGCGAUACAGCGUUCACCUUCUAAAGCAUGCUGAGGCUUCCUGUUAGAACAAAAUAAAGCUCUUUCCCACGCCC